Molecule: long non-coding RNA, 305 nt
Organism: Oreochromis niloticus (Nile tilapia)
Lineage: Eukaryota; Metazoa; Chordata; Actinopteri; Cichliformes; Cichlidae
Exons: 3
Source: RefSeq, a predicted model, not a curated record
GCCAAAAGGCUGUGUACAGACACCAUACCUCUACCUCCUUCCUCCAGGGGUAGACACUGAUGGAAAGCCCGUGACCAUCACUCCUCCUGGGGUUCACACUGGGACAGCCGCCCGCUCUUUCAUCCUGAGAGCCAGAACACACACAGCGACUCCGAGUACGAGCAGCAGCAGCCCGAUGCCGAUGCCAACGUACACAGGAACUGCAGUGACAUUAACGGGACGUGGAGAGGGAGGGUUUCUCUCUGACAUGGCAACGGUUUCCUGUCCAUCCCGGGUGACAGCUGUGACCACGCAAGGAAAAACAA